Carya illinoinensis is the source of this 1951-nucleotide RNA transcript. RefSeq lists it as uncharacterized. Lineage: Eukaryota; Viridiplantae; Streptophyta; Magnoliopsida; Fagales; Juglandaceae. The record is from RefSeq and is a predicted model, not a curated record. The transcript is spliced from 5 exons.
CCUCAAAAUUUCAGAAAAUUCAAAGUUCCCUCUUUUAUGCAAUUAGCGCCUCUUGUACGCUGCCAAUUAGCGCCUCAUGUAGUUUCUCCUUCGCACAGUUCCAGAUUUCAUGUAGUUUCUAGCUUUAUUCUCCGUUUCUUGGAUCUCAAACAUUUUUCUUGAUUCAUCUACCUUGGCGACCGAAUGUCGAUGCCUUUCUUGGAUCUCCUUAAUUCCGUGGAAAUUACUCAUGACCUUUAAUUUCGGUCUCCAUCAUAGGAAACCUAGGUCGCGAGUCCAUGUUUAGGCCAUCUUUAAUUUGUUCUCCCAAAUGCAUUAUUUUAUUUUUUUAAGCGAUCUCAUGAAUAAGUUGUUCUGUUCGUUGUUGGAGGACUUGGUGGCCGGUGACGAGAAGUGAUGGUGGAGUUGAUGACUAUAGCGCUUGCUUUCUCACCAAAUUGCAAGGUGCUGAAUGAUCUUUUGCCCUCUCUCUCUCUCUCUCUCUCUCUCUCUCUAAAAGUAACACAUCUUUCUUAGCUGUAUAUUUGAGUUUAUUUGGUUAUUUUGAUGCGUGUUUUAUUCGAAAAUUCAUGUAAGUCGAGGGAACGGGUGGCUGUUGAAGCCAUCAUCGUAUGAAGGUAAGAUUUCCCAUCUCAUCCUGAUUCCAACAGAUUUUAAUUUCUCUCUAUUUUUCACUGCUGUGAUUUUCUUUUGGAGAAUUGGGUGGUAUCAUCUUCAAGUUCACGUUCGUAGGUUCACCCCUCUCCUUAAAUUUUCAGAUUCCUCUCCCCUGCAUGUGUUUUUAUCUUCUACCUAUGCUUUCAAUCUUGAUAGAUUUGGGCUUUCUUUCCAGCAUGCUUACAGAUUUGGUCUCUCAUUUAAUCAGCUUUUUGAGAAGGAGUGCUGGAAAUGGAAAACACAGACACAGAGCAAGAAACAGAGUCUACGAUAGUUAUUAAUGGGUAGCAUCUGCAUUAUUUUAAUUUAAACCUUUGUAUCCGUUCUGAGCUUCCCUGUAGCAGUACUCACAUCCCUUUUCGAUUAAUGGAGGAUCCACCAAACUGCGACAACCCAUCAUCAAAAUCGUAGCUCUUGGCUUUGAUGAAAAAUUUAUAAGGACAUGGAAAUAUUACUUUGAAUAUUGUCCAGCUGGUUUUAAGUCUUGUACACUCGGAGUCUAUCAGGUAUUCAGAGAGAUCAUUUCUCGGCUUCUAUCCCUGGUAAUUUAAGCUGGUUGCAUCCAUUUUUUUACUCACCAUAUUUCCCGUUACUAAUUACUAUGGUUUUCUUGAGCUGUGAAAAGCAAGUGAAUACAUCCUUUUAUUGGAACGAUUCAACUUAUUGCUUUAAGACCGAAGUAUAUUCUUCCAACUCUUCAUCGUCUUCCCAUGAUAUGCAUAGAUAUGUUAAAUAUCUAGAUAGACCUCCAUAUCCAGGGCAGGUGGAGGAAUCUUGUCGAAUAGAGCAAAUAUCCCUAAUAUCGAGGGAAGGCCGUCAAUAUAUCCAAAAACUGCUUCCUGCGAAGAGAUUCGAAACGAAUUGUUAUGCGGUUUUAAGUUUAAUUGGCUACAUGUUUCUUGUCAAUGCGAGGGACCCAACAAUUGCUACCUCGAUGACGUGAAUAAAAUUUAAUGUGAUAAUGGAUUCUUCAAAGGACUGGCGGACGUAUACAAAGGACUGGUGGAUGUAUACAAUGCAUUCAAAAUUCCAAAUCCAUGAUGGGCGCACUUUGAGAAAUUCUUAUGUCAUGCCUUCUCACCUUCCAGUUGGUGGAGUUAUUGGAUCAAUCUUGGUAGUCAUUUGCUUGUUUUGGGUUGGUCUGGUAGAAGAACUACCCAUGAAAGAAAUGGUCGGAAAGCUAACGACAAACACAAUGUAAAGUAAAAUAAUUAUCCAUGAAGAAGAGCUUUCAUGUAAUGUGAUUUGUGUUACUUUUUUUUUAUUAUUAUAUGAAUAAUGAUCCAUUAUAUCA